AAAGAUGGUGAAAUUGUUCACUGGUUACUAUCAUAGACAGAACAAACUCAACCUUAACUAACCUUAAGGCUCAGUUUUACGUCUUUCCUCCAAACUGCCAGCUCCCCACACCAAGUGGUGCAGCAGCAGGUUCUGUCAAACAGCACAUGUUCCUGCAUGGGGUGACUGUCAGCUCAAGACUUCAAACUUGCUUGAAAAUUCUCAGCAUUGUCAUUCCUGUGACUGACCUCUUACAAAGGAAGUAAGAGAAAAGAACAUAAGGCUAUCCAGCUAAGCAGUGGUCUUUUUACUGUCAUUUUUCAUCCUCCAUGCCUUGUUCAUGUGUCUAGCAGUACCUGCUCUAGUUUAC
This 349-nucleotide long non-coding RNA is filed under the name Meleagris gallopavo (turkey). RNAcentral describes it as "lncRNA (ENSMGAG00000022550.1)". The record is from RNAcentral. Lineage: Eukaryota; Metazoa; Chordata; Aves; Galliformes; Phasianidae.